This 253-nucleotide ribosomal RNA is filed under the name uncultured bacterium. RNAcentral's name for it is "partial 16S ribosomal RNA". It matches the Rfam family "Bacterial small subunit ribosomal RNA", at positions 524 to 776 of the family's 1533-position model. The record is from RNAcentral.
UACGUAGGGGGCAAGCGUUGUCCGGAUUUAUUGGGCGUAAAGAGCGUGUAGGCGGCCAGGUAGGUCCGUUGUGAAAACUCGAGGCUCAACCUCGAGACGUCGGCGGAAACCCUCUGGCUAGAGUCCGGAAGAGGAGAGUGGAAUUCCUGGUGUAGCGGUGAAAUGCGCAGAUAUCAGGAAGAACACCAGCGGCGAAGGCGGCGCUCUGGGCCGGAACUGACGCUGAGGAGCGAAAGCGUGGGUAGCAAACAGG